AGUGAACGCUGGCGGUAGCCCUAACACAUGUAAGUCGAACGGCAGCACAGUAAGAGCUUGCUCUUACGGGUGGCGAGUGGCGGACGGGUGAGGAAUACAUCGGAAUCUACUUUUUCGUGGGGGAUAACGUAGGGAAACUUACGCUAAUACCGCAUACGACCUACGGGUGAAAGCAGGGGAUCUUCGGACCUUGCGCGAUUGAAUGAGCCGAUGUCGGAUUAGCUAGUUGGCGGGGUAAAGGCCCACCAAGGCGACGAUCCGUAGCUGGUCUGAGAGGAUGAUCAGCCACACUGGAACUGAGACACGGUCCAGACUCCUACGGGAGGCAGCAGUGGGGAAUAUUGGACAAUGGGCGCAAGCCUGAUCCAGCCAUACCGCGUGGGUGAAGAAGGCCUUCGGGUUGUAAAGCCCUUUUGUUGGGAAAGAAAAGCAGCAGGUUAAUACCCCGCUGUUCUGACGGUACCCAAAGAAUAAGCACCGGCUAACUUCGUG
RNAcentral lists this ribosomal RNA (492 nucleotides) under uncultured bacterium. Its description in RNAcentral is "partial 16S ribosomal RNA". It matches the Rfam family "Bacterial small subunit ribosomal RNA", at positions 29 to 507 of the family's 1533-position model. The record is from RNAcentral.